This 279-nucleotide long non-coding RNA is filed under the name Sus scrofa (pig). Its description in RNAcentral is "lncRNA (ENSSSCG00050030267.1)". Lineage: Eukaryota; Metazoa; Chordata; Mammalia; Artiodactyla; Suidae. The record is from RNAcentral.
CUCCAUCAACCAUCUAUGAGUGGGCUCUGCUGUCUGCUUGUGCUCCAGAGCUUCCAUUACGUUCGAAGCGUGAAGCAUGUGACUCAUCCACCUAAAAGAGUGCUCCUGCUGUCAUGAAAGGUAACCCGGAAUGAGGAGAGAGAGGCCCAGAUACUGGCUAAAACCAAGCCCCUAAAUGUAUGGUGAAGAUCCUCCAGCCCCACUCAAGCCAUCAGCGACUUCAGCAACACGACAGAACAUACUUGAGAUCAGCACAAGAAUGACCCAGAUACAAGGCAA